CACAGCACGGAGUUUUACCCUUAGAUUUUUGGCUGUUCGCGAUGUGUGAUGGCGUUUCCUUGGACGAGAUGAUGAUUUUGGCGAGAAAAAUAUUGCUUUCUAACCUUCAGGUUCCUAAAUAUGAAAAGUAGUCAACGAGGUCCCUUACUCCCUUGUUUGAUAACCCAAUGGCUGCUACCCUUGAAUCUCCCUAUUUAGCUCCUUACACAGUCCCUCUUGAUUUGAGGGUAAUCCUUCGCUACUGAUCAUGGACUCCAUUGGUGGAACUGAAAACCGAAGAGAGAAUGCUGUAAUCCAAGACUGAUAAAUUGU
This is a long non-coding RNA of Daphnia pulicaria, 312 nucleotides long. RefSeq lists it as uncharacterized. The transcript has 3 exons. The record is from RefSeq and is a predicted model, not a curated record. Lineage: Eukaryota; Metazoa; Arthropoda; Branchiopoda; Diplostraca; Daphniidae.